GACGAACGCUGGCGGCGUGCUUAACACAUGCAAGUCGAACGAUGAAGCGGUGCUUGCACCGUGGAUUAGUGGCGAACGGGUGAGUAAUACGUGAGUGACCUACCUUUGACUCUGGGAUAAGCCUGGGAAACUGGGUCUAAUACCGGAUACGACCAAUCUCUGCAUGGGGUGUUGGUGGAAAGCGUUAUGGAGUGGUUUUAGAUGGGCUCACGGCCUAUCAGCUUGUUGGUGAGGUAAUGGCUUACCAAGGCGACGACGGGUAGCCGGCCUGAGAGGGGGACCGGGCACACUGGGACUGGGAUACGGCCCAAACCCCUGCGGGAGGCAGCAGGGGGGAAUAUUGGAAAAGGGGCCGAAGCCUGAAGCAGGAGCGCCGGGGGGGGGAUGGAGGCCUUUGGGUUGGAAACCGUGUUUAAGCGUGAAAAAGGGGAAUGGGAGGGGAGGAGAAGAAGAAGCGCCGGCUAACUACGUG
Molecule: ribosomal RNA, 472 nt
Filed under: uncultured bacterium
Lineage: Bacteria
Description: partial 16S ribosomal RNA
Rfam family: Bacterial small subunit ribosomal RNA
Source: RNAcentral